Molecule: ribosomal RNA, 496 nt
Filed under: uncultured bacterium
Lineage: Bacteria
Description: partial 16S ribosomal RNA
Rfam family: Bacterial small subunit ribosomal RNA
Source: RNAcentral
AUGAACGCUGGCGGCGUGCCUAAUACAUGCAAGUCGAGCGAACAGACGAGGAGCUUGCUCCUCUGACGUUAGCGGCGGACGGGUGAGUAACACGUGGAUAACCUACCUAUAAGACUGGGAUAACUUCGGGAAACCGGAGCUAAUACCGGAUAAUAUAUUGAACCGCAUGGUUCAAUAGUGAAAGACGGUUUUGCUGUCACUUAUAGAUGGAUCCGCGCCGCAUUAGCUAGUUGGUAAGGUAACGGCUUACCAAGGCAACGAUGCGUAGCCGACCUGAGAGGGUGAUCGGCCACACUGGAACUGAGACACGGUCCAGACUCCUGCGGGAGGCAGCAGUAGGGAAUCUUCCGCAAUGGGCGAAAGCCUGACGGAGCAACGCCGCGUGAGUGAUGAAGGUCUUCGGAUCGUAAAACUCUGUUAUUAGGGAAGAACAAAUGUGUAAGUAACUAUGCACGUCUUGACGGUACCUAAUCAGAAAGCCACGGCUAACUACGUG